Molecule: non-coding RNA, 148 nt
Filed under: Chlorocebus sabaeus (green monkey)
Lineage: Eukaryota; Metazoa; Chordata; Mammalia; Primates; Cercopithecidae
Source: Rfam by way of RNAcentral
GCUGGGCAUGGUGGCGGGUGCCUGUAAUUCCAGCUACUUGGAAGGCUGAGGCAGGAGGAUCGCUUGAGCCCGGUAGGUGGAGGGUGCAGUGAGCUGAGAUCGUGCCACUGCACUCCAGCCUGGGCAACAGAGCAAGACCCCGUCUCAG